GACGAACGCUGGCGGCGUGCUUAACACAUGCAAGUCGUACGGUAAGGCCCUUUCGGGGGUCCACGAGUGGCGAACGGGUGAGUAACACGUGAGUAACCUGCCCACAACUUUGGGAUAACGCUAGGAAACUGGUGCUAAUACUGGAUAUGUGCCCCUGCUGCAUGGUGGGGGUUGGAAAGCUCCGGCGGUUGUGGAUGGACUCGCGGCCUAUCAGCUUGUUGGUGGGGUAGUGGCCUACCAAGGCGGCGACGGGUAGCCGGCCUGAGAGGGUGACCGGCCACAUUGGGACUGAGAUACGGCCCAGACUCCUACGGGAGGCAGCAGGGGGGAAUAUUGCACAAUGGGCGCAAGCCGGAUGCAGCAACGCCGCGUGCGGGAUGACGGCCUUCGGGUUGUAAACCGCUUUCAGCAGGGACGAAGCUUUUUGUGACGGUACCUGCAGAAGAAGCACCGGCUAACUACGUG
Molecule: ribosomal RNA, 465 nt
Filed under: uncultured bacterium
Lineage: Bacteria
Description: partial 16S ribosomal RNA
Rfam family: Bacterial small subunit ribosomal RNA
Source: RNAcentral